UUUAAAGAUGAGGGCCCUCAUGGGGUUUUUGAUUAUGUGAUUACUUGGCCGUUUUUUUAAUGAUUAUUUGAUUAUUAAGCCAAAUAUUUCAUGAUUAUUUGAUUACCUAGGACUGUAUUUUUAGUUUAUGAUUAUUUGAUUACUAAAGAUAAGCAACUAUUUAAUGAUUAUGUGAUUAUAUUGGCAAAAAAAUGGUGAUUAUGUGAUUACUAGGACCCCCCCCAUGAGGGGCCUCAAAG
RNAcentral lists this long non-coding RNA (239 nucleotides) under Mytilus galloprovincialis (Mediterranean mussel). Lineage: Eukaryota; Metazoa; Mollusca; Bivalvia; Mytilida; Mytilidae. The record is from RNAcentral.